AGUGAACGCUGGCGGUAGGCCUAACACAUGCAAGUCGAACGGCAGCACAGUAAGAGCUUGCUCUUACGGGUGGCGAGUGGCGGACGGGUGAGGAAUACAUCGGAAUCUACUUUUUCGUGGGGGAUAACAUAGGGAAACUUACGCUAAUACCGCAUACGACCUACGGGUGAAAGCAGGGGAUCUUCGGACCUUGCGUGAUUGAAUGAGCCGAUGUCGGAUUAGCUAGUUGGCGGGGUAAAGGCCCACCAAGGCGACGAUCCGUAGCUGGUCUGAGAGGAUGAUCAGCCACACUGGAACUGAGACACGGUCCAGACUCCUACGGGAGGCAGCAGUGGGGAAUAUUGGACAAUGGGCGCAAGCCUGAUCCAGCCAUACCGCGUGGGUGAAGAAGGCCUUCGGGUUGUAAAGCCCUUUUGUUGGGAAAGAAAAGCAGCAGGUUAAUACCCCGCUGUUCUGACGGUACCCAAAGAAUAAGCACCGGCUAACUUCGUG
Molecule: ribosomal RNA, 492 nt
Filed under: uncultured bacterium
Lineage: Bacteria
Description: partial 16S ribosomal RNA
Rfam family: Bacterial small subunit ribosomal RNA
Source: RNAcentral